This 460-nucleotide ribosomal RNA is filed under the name uncultured bacterium. Its description in RNAcentral is "partial 16S ribosomal RNA". It matches the Rfam family "Bacterial small subunit ribosomal RNA", at positions 338 to 795 of the family's 1533-position model. The record is from RNAcentral.
CCUACGGGAGGCAGCAGUGAGGAAUAUUGGUCAAUGGACGAGAGUCUGAACCAGCCAAGUAGCGUGAAGGAUGACUGCCCUCUGGGUUGAAAACUUCUUCUAUAAAGGAAUAAAACGAGGCACGUGUGCCUGUUUGCAUGUACUUUAUGAAUAAGGAUCGGCUAACUCCGUGCCAGCAGCCGCGGUAAUACGGAGGGUCCGAUGGUUAUCCGGAUUUAUUGUGUUUAAAGGGAGCGUAGAGGGGUUGUUAAGUCAGUGGUGAAAGUUAGCGGCUCAACCGUAAAAUUGCAAUUGAUACUGGCAGUCUUGAGUACAGUUGAGGUAGGCGGAAUUCGUGGUGUAGCGGUGAAAUGAUGAGAGAUCACGAAGAACCCCGAUUGCGAAGGCAGCUUACUAAACUGUGACUGACAUUGAUGCUCGAAAGUGUGGGUAUCAAACAGGAUUAGAUACCCGAGUAGUC